UAAGACAGAGGGUGCAAACGUUGUUCGGAAUUACUGGGCGUAAAGCGUGUGUAGGCGGCUAUGUAAGUCGGAUGUGAAAGCCCCGGGCUCAACCCGGGAAGUGCACUCGAUACUGCGUAGCUUGAGUCUCGGAGAGGUUGGUGGAAUUCUCGGUGUAGAGGUGAAAUUCGUAGAUAUCGAGAGGAACACCGGUGGCGAAGGCGGCCAACUGGACGAAGACUGACGCUGAGACACGAAAGCGUGGGGAGCAAACAGGAUUAGAUACCCUGGUAGUCCACGCCGUAAACGAUGGGUGCUAGGUGUCAUGGGCAUUGACUCCCAUGGUGCCGUAGCCAACGCAUUAAGCACCCCGCCUGGGAAGUACGGCCGCAAGGCUA
RNAcentral lists this ribosomal RNA (377 nucleotides) under uncultured bacterium. Its description in RNAcentral is "bacterial SSU rRNA". It matches the Rfam family "Bacterial small subunit ribosomal RNA", at positions 521 to 896 of the family's 1533-position model. The record is from RNAcentral.